Molecule: unclassified non-coding RNA, 338 nt
Filed under: Hevea brasiliensis (rubber tree)
Lineage: Eukaryota; Viridiplantae; Streptophyta; Magnoliopsida; Malpighiales; Euphorbiaceae
Source: RNAcentral
AUUGAAGUCAAAUAUUUUGAGUUUGGGGCAGCUUCUGGAGAAAGGAUAUGAGAUAAAUCUGAAGAAUCAUGCACUUAUGGUACGAGACAACAAAGGCAAUCUAAUUGCUAAAGUGAGAAUGGCCAAGAACAGAAUGUUUUCUCUACAGAUCCAGUCAGAUUGUGUGAAGUGUUUGAAGGCCUGUACAUCAGAUUCUUCUUGGCUUUGGCAUUUGAGAAUAGGCCACUUGAAUUUUGAUAGUUUGAAGUUGCUGGCAAAGAAGAGGAUGGUGCGUGGACUUCCAUUUAUUGAUCAUUCACAUCAGUUUUGUGAAGGAUGCAUAUAUGGGAAGCAAUUCA